UGAAAACCGAUAAGGAAAAAAGUAGUCGAUAACCAUAUAGCCAGAGAGAAAGUGCCAGUGGCUGAAAGCACUUUUCUAUUGAUGCAUUGAUGAAAGACAUUUCCUAGGUGCCAUGUCGAACCCUCAGAAGUAGGCAUGGACGAAAGAUCUGCGUUAAGGAUCCUAAAGUGGAAGUAGUUAAACUUCAAUGAGGGUGGCACCGCGGGAAGUCCCGUCCCUUUU
RNAcentral lists this non-coding RNA (222 nucleotides) under Salimicrobium flavidum. RNAcentral describes it as "T-box sequence". It matches the Rfam family "T-box leader". From Rfam's summary of the family: Uncharged tRNA acts as the effector for transcription antitermination of genes in the T-box leader family. T-boxes are found upstream of many aminoacyl-tRNA synthetase genes and some amino acid biosynthetic genes usually in Gram-positive bacteria. Lineage: Bacteria; Bacillati; Bacillota; Bacilli; Caryophanales; Bacillaceae. The record is from RNAcentral.